RNAcentral lists this ribosomal RNA (785 nucleotides) under Nocardia sp. YIM 61704. RNAcentral's name for it is "bacterial SSU rRNA". It matches the Rfam family "Bacterial small subunit ribosomal RNA", at positions 56 to 858 of the family's 1533-position model. Lineage: Bacteria; Bacillati; Actinomycetota; Actinomycetes; Mycobacteriales; Nocardiaceae. The record is from RNAcentral.
UGCAGUCGAGCGGUAAGGCCCUUCGGGGUACACGAGCGGCGAACGGGUGAGUAACACGUGGGUGAUCUACCUUGCACUUCGGGAUAAGCCUGGGAAACUGGGUCUAAUACCGGAUAUGACCUGUGGUUGCAUGACUUCGGGUGGAAAGAUUUAUCGGUGCGAGAUGGGCCCGCGGCCUAUCAGCUUGUUGGUGAGGUAACGGCUCACCAAGGCGACGACGGGUAGCCGACCUGAGAGGGUGACCGGCCACACUGGGACUGAGACACGGCCCAGACUCCUACGGGAGGCAGCAGUGGGGAAUAUUGCACAAUGGGCGCAAGCCUGAUGCAGCGACGCCGCGUGCGGGAUGACGGCCUUCGGGUUGUAAACCGCUUUUGACAGGGACGAAGCGCAAGUGACUGUACCUGUAGAAUAAGGACCGGCCAACUACGUGCCAGCAGCCGCGGUAAUACGUAGGGUCCGAGCGUUGUCCGGAAUUACUGGGCGUAAAGAGCUUGUAGGCGGUUCGUCGCGUCGUUUGUGAAAACUUGGGGCUCAACCUUAAGCUUGCAGGCGAUACGGGCGGACUAGAGUACUUCAGGGGAGACUGGAAUUCCUGGUGUAGCGGUGAAAUGCGCAGAUAUCAGGAGGAACACCGGUGGCGAAGGCGGGUCUCUGGGAAGUAACUGACGCUGAGAAGCGAAAGCAUGGGUAGCAAACAGGAUUAGAUACCCUGGUAGUCCAUGCCGUAAACGGUGGGUACUAGGUGUGGGCUCCUUCCACGGACUCCGUGCCGUAGCUAACGC